CCACUGCACGAUACGUCAAAGCCACGUCACAUUGCCUCAUGCUCAUGGAUUGCACCGCAGGCAGGCGUUCAUCAACAGAUACUAGCUAACACACGUACCUUGGCUUUGAGGUCCUCGAUGAGCUCGUCGCCGGAGGCCGAUGUGUCCUCGGAGGCGGCCUUCACGCGGAGCAGGGACAGCCUCGGCGCAUCUGCAGAGGGAAUCGCCAAAACAAACCAUCAUCAGUGACCGGUGUUCCUCUGAAACUGCUGCCACAAGAAUCUGCUCCGAGAUCGAUGAUGAUACCUUGGAGGCGAAGCUGGCAGGCGGUGCGGCGCGGGAGGAGGGCGGAGCCGCGUGGGACGGCGGGGAGGCGCGCGCCGCCG
This 365-nucleotide long non-coding RNA is filed under the name Setaria italica (foxtail millet). RNAcentral's name for it is "long non-coding RNA (SITA_LNC002914)". The record is from RNAcentral. Lineage: Eukaryota; Viridiplantae; Streptophyta; Magnoliopsida; Poales; Poaceae.